Molecule: unclassified non-coding RNA, 274 nt
Filed under: air metagenome
Description: partial contains small subunit ribosomal RNA, internal transcribed spacer 1, and 5.8S ribosomal RNA
Rfam family: Eukaryotic small subunit ribosomal RNA (bases 1-46)
Source: RNAcentral
AAGUCGUAACAAGGUUUCCGUAGGUGAACCUGCGGAAGGAUCAUUACUGAGUUGCCGGUCUUCGGAUCGGAUAACCCGACCUCAUGUCAUCUGAAGUCGAAUGCUUGGGCCCUCUUCACGGAGGGCCCUCGCGGACGACAAAUCAUAACUUCGGCGGAAGUGGUAGGCUCGACCUGCCCGCCGCCGGCCGUAUUCCAAACUCUUGUGAGAAUCUGAAGUCUGAUAAAACAAAAAACGAAAAGCAAAACUUUCAACAACGGAUCUCUUGGCUCUG